GGGAUGGUGUCCUCCGUGAAGGUACCCCCUGGUGGAAGCCGUCGUAGCGCCAGUCCCUCCAGCUUGGAGCUGCCAGCUGAGAAGCGAGGUGCNAUCAGACUGAAAGGCAUUCCACAGCCGCGUUCCCGAGCUCAGAGUGCCGAGAGGGGCCAAGAGGAGUUGCAGGCGCUUCGGGCCGAGGUUCUGACCCUCCGGCGUNGCCUGAACGCCUCGGAGAGCCAGCGCAGAAUUCUCCUGGAGACCUCCUGGCAGCAGCAGAGGCCCCCGUUCUCGGGCCGAGAGAGGCAGGGGCCAGCGUUGGGGGCUGCGAUCCGGCCGAAGAGAAAGGAUCCCCGAGAGGUUCUGGNAAGUGACCAGACUGGGAAGAAAAGCCAGAGCUCGGGUAUAGGGGGCGUCGUCUCAGGGGUGGGAAAGGCGGAAGGGGAUGGAAGCGUGGAGGCCUCUGACCCUGCUUCCCGGGCUGGAAGGGAGAUGGCGGCUGACGCUGAGGAGAAAGAAGGACGGCAGAAGGAAACAGAGGAGGUCCAGGGGGACGUGGCUGGGGUCCGUCCACAGGCCCAGGGAGACUUGGCAUCAUUAACGGGCACAGAGGAGCUCGCCGGGAUCCAGGACCCAACCACAGAAGAGACCGAAUCUGAGGGGAAAUUGGGACCUGACGAGGCCAUGGAGGCCAUGCGUGAGGACCUGCUGGCCUUAGCCACCGGUAAGGCCCAAGCGGAGGCCCAAGCGAGCUUCGUCCAGCAGAAACUUGAAAGCCUGCAGGCCACUCUGGGGAGGCAGACGGAACGCCUGGCCCAAGCCAUGGAAACCCAGAGCCNGCAUGUGGAAGAGCUGCUGGCGGACGUGGAAGAGAAGGACCGGCUCAUGAGGAGCCUAAGCCAGGAGCUGGAAGAGACCAAGAAGGCCCUGGAAGUCGCUAAGGCCGAGGGCCAGACGUGGCGGCUGAUGCUGGAACAGAGGGAAGCCCAACCUCGUGGAGAUAUCUCUGCGGAUGUCUGUGAGGCAUGCGGAGGCAAAGAGACUGGACAGGCCUUGGUUGAGCUACAAGAGGGCCAAGCAGCCGUUGAGGAUGAAGGCCUAGCGAGACGUUCCUCAGAAGACAAGCCGGUGCAACCAGACGGGCAGGAGCAACUGGAGGCCUUUCUCACUGAACUACUGGAGGAAAAUGAGACCCUGCGCAAGGAAUUGGAGCUCUGCAAGAUGUGGUACAAGGGAACUGNUGAAUCACUUUGCUCAGGGCAUGGAAGAGAAACUGAGGCUGGAGAUGGUGCCCAGAAGAGGGAGCUGCUGCCACAGGGAAGCCGCUGCAGCGUCCAGACCCAGACGGAGGGGCCAGAGGGGAGACAUCGGCGCCGAGAGCGCAUGUCGGUGGCCUUCGAUGACACCCAGUAUGAGCCCUAUGGGCUCCCGGAGGUGGUCAUGAAAGGGUUUGCAGACAUCCCUUCCGGCCCCUCUUGCCCUUACGUCCUCCGCAGGGGCAUUUUGGAGAGCGCCCCCAUGGCCCAGCUUGCACCCCAAGCAGAACCCGAAGAGGAUACGCUGGAAGCGGAAGAGGGGACGGGCGUCUGAGCACAGCCCGGCUGAUUAUUUUGUUUGCGAUCUGCAGCUACAGUUCUCCACUAACCAUCCAAAAAAACCCCAAAUCCUUGCAGCUGUGGAAAGACCCCAUCUGGCUCUCCUUGUUCUCUGUCAGGUCCUGAAUGGAAACAGAAAUCAGCUGAUCUCCAGUUUGUUGUCUCAACAGCCUGAAUCUUCCCCCUGGUUCAUCGCAAGAUCCUCUUGAUUCAGGAAAAGUGAUGUGGUUGGAAGAAGCAUUUGAAGCGAAAGAAAAGAAUCCGGUCUCACCCAUUCUCUGACCUUCCAUUCAACAUUUUAGCCAGGAGUGUCUUGCCAGGAUUUUAAGCCAAAAACAAACAGCUUGUCACUUCGUCAGUGCGUUAUCUCAGCCUGAAAGCGGACUGAAGCUGGAUCAAAACGCAGGUGUGAACGCAGCCCGAAGUGAAGGGAGCUCAGCACCAUGGACAGCUCCCACAAUGCUUCCCCUCUUCAAACAAGCAGCCUUGGGGCAACAUCCACCAUUAUUGUGUUACAUUUAUUUAUUUCAAAUGUUAUUUCAGGGUUAGUCUGCUUUUUCAACUAAAUUGCCACGUUUUGUUACCACACCAGAGCUUUUGCACAGAGCAGGUUCCCAGGCUGCAGUCAGACCCUUUGAUCGCCCUGUUUAUUUUGGGGAGUAAAGCAACACUUUAAAAAAGGAGGAGGGGGCGGCUACUGGAAGCCCAGGACAGCUCAGAAUAUGUGUUCCAAUUCAGGAUUGGCUCAGAUAUACAUCACCCAUUAGAUUAAAUGCAUUGAUUUUUAUACGGGUUUGCUCUAGAAUCACAGUCCCUACCUGUUUGGACUUUUGGCACACCUCCCUGGAUCUCUGCCCAGCUAGCUACAAGGAGCAUCUACGGCUCCUGACCUCUAUGCCUGCCACAAUUUUGGAAGCUCCUUUGAACUACANUUCCCAUGAGCCUUAGCAAGGCAGAGGGAGCAGCUCACAGGUCCUACCUGCCCCGAGCAGAGGAANAGGAAUAUUUAAGAGGGCUCCCCUCUUCAGAGAAAACAGGUGCCUCCCCAUUUUGCAAAUUCAAGAACCCCAGCCCAGGUUUCGCUUACUUCUCUGAGCGAUUCAGAAACUAUGUGGCUUGCAGGAUGGACUUUACGUCAAGGACCGUUUCAGGUUAAAACAUGGUUAACUAUUUGAAUGGACACCCCCACCCCAUCCCCAGGGAACUUCUCCUAAAUUCUCCCCUGAAGUAAACAAUCCCAAAGCGCAUUGCCUGUGCUUUGCGAAGGAUUCGAAGGGACGUCGAUAAACGGAUCCUAAAUUUCUGCCAAAUUNCUCCCCCAGGGAAAGAAUCCUACCUCCUCUCCCCUCCUCCCCCUCCUAAAAAGAAGAUCUGUGUUGUUGUUGUUGUUGUUUUUGGGGGGGCUUCAAAGCCUUCCCAAAUCAUGGACAAUGUCCUUUUAAAUUCUCCCCCUCCUACUAUCAUACAUUUCUCAGCAAAUGGACACCUGACUUCCCACCGGCAAAAAAAAAUUAAAUAAAAAAAUACAAAGACAAACCCA
Salvator merianae (Argentine black and white tegu) is the source of this 3114-nucleotide long non-coding RNA. NCBI's taxonomy places the organism in Eukaryota, Metazoa, Chordata, Lepidosauria, Squamata, Teiidae. The record is from Ensembl.